RNAcentral lists this ribosomal RNA (231 nucleotides) under uncultured bacterium. RNAcentral's name for it is "partial 16S ribosomal RNA". It matches the Rfam family "Bacterial small subunit ribosomal RNA", at positions 91 to 339 of the family's 1533-position model. The record is from RNAcentral.
GUUAGUGGCAGACGGGUGAGUAACGCGUGGGAAUGUACCUUUUGGUUCGGAAUAACUUCGGGAAACUGUAGCUAAUACCGAAUGUGCCCGUGAGGGGAAAGAUUUAUCGCCAAAAGAGCAGCCCGCGUUAGAUUAGGUAGUUGGUGGGGUAAAGGCCUACCAAGCCUACGAUCUAUAGCUGGUCUGAGAGGACGACCAGCCACACUGGAACUGAGACACGGUCCAGACUCC